CGGAAGGGGAGUGAAAUAGAACCUGAAACCGUGUGCUUACAAGUAGUCAGAGCCCGUUAAUGGGUGAUGGCGUGCCUUUUGUAGAAUGAACCGGCGAGUUACGAUUUGAUGCAAGGUUAAGCAGUAAAUGUGGAGCCGUAGCGAAAGCGAGUCUGAAUAGGGCGUUUAGUAUUUGGUCGUAGACCCGAAACCAGGUGAUCUACCCUUGGUCAGGUUGAAGUUCAGGUAACACUGAAUGGAGGACCGAACCGACUUACGUUGAAAAGUGAGCGGAUGAACUGAGGGUAGCGGAGAAAUUCCAAUCGAACCUGGAGAUAGCUGGUUCUCUCCGAAAUAGCUUUAGGGCUAGCCUCAAGUGAUGAUUAUUGGAGGUAGAGCACUGUUUGGACGAGGGGCCCCUCUCGGGUUACCGAAUUCAGACAAACUCCGAAUGCCAAUUAAUUUAACUUGGGAGUCAGAACAUGGGUGAUAAGGUCCGUGUUCGAAAGGGAAACAGCCCAGACCACCAGCUAAGGUCCCAAAAUAUAUGUUAAGUGGAAAAGGAUGUGGCGUUGCCCAGACAACUAGGAUGUUGGCUUAGAAGCAGCCAUCAUUUAAAGAGUGCGUAAUAGCUCACUAGUCGAGUGACACUGCGCCGAAAAUGUACCGGGGCUAAACAUAUUACCGAAGCUGUGGAUUGUCCUUUGGACAAUGGUAGGAGAGCGUUCUAAGGGCGUUGAAGCAUGAUCGUAAGGACAUGUGGAGCGCUUAGAAGUGAGAAUGCCGGUGUGAGUAGCGAAAGACGGGUGAGAAUCCCGUCCACCGAUUGACUAAGGUUUCCAGAGGAAGGCUCGUCCGCUCUGGGUUAGUCGGGUCCUAAGCUGAGGCCGACAGGCGUAGGCGAUGGAUAACAGGUUGAUAUUCCUGUACCACCUAUAAUCGUUUUAAUCGAUGGGGGGACGCAGUAGGAUAGGCGAAGCGUGCGAUUGGAUUGCACGUCUAAGCAGUAAGGCUGAGUAUUAGGCAAAUCCGGUACUCGUUAAGGCUGAGC
This 1030-nucleotide ribosomal RNA is filed under the name Staphylococcus aureus. RNAcentral's name for it is "partial 23S ribosomal RNA". It matches the Rfam family "Bacterial large subunit ribosomal RNA", at positions 527 to 1561 of the family's 2925-position model. Lineage: Bacteria; Bacillati; Bacillota; Bacilli; Caryophanales; Staphylococcaceae. The record is from RNAcentral.